This 253-nucleotide ribosomal RNA is filed under the name uncultured prokaryote. RNAcentral describes it as "partial 16S ribosomal RNA". It matches the Rfam family "Bacterial small subunit ribosomal RNA", at positions 524 to 776 of the family's 1533-position model. The record is from RNAcentral.
UACGUAGGGGGCGAGCGUUGUCCGGAAUCAUUGGGCGUAAAGGGCGCGUAGGCGGAUAAUUAAGUCUGGUGUGAAAUAUAGGGGCUCAACCCCUAAACUGCAUCGGAAACUGGUUAUCUUGAGGACAGGAGAGGAAAGUGGAAUUCCACGUGUAGCGGUGAAAUGCGUAGAGAUGUGGAGGAACACCAGUGGCGAAGGCGACUUUCUGGACUGUAACUGACGCUGAGGCGCGAAAGCGUGGGGAGCAAACAGG